Molecule: long non-coding RNA, 2294 nt
Filed under: Homo sapiens (human)
Lineage: Eukaryota; Metazoa; Chordata; Mammalia; Primates; Hominidae
Description: non-protein coding MORC2-AS1:9
Source: RNAcentral
GUCUUGUCGCUUCCGCCUCGAGCGUGUGGCGGGAUUGCGGAAGCCCUCCACAGUUCAUAACCGUUGGCUGGUUAUGAACCGUUCAUAACGGGCGUUAAUAACCAUACCCUGUUAGACUAAGCAUGGUCCACCCGCGAAUCCUCUACAGAGAUGGCCAAGCGCUGGGGUCGUGGCUGCGUCCUCUAGGCCAGGCCUUGGUGGGCAGCUGUUGACAUGUCCAGAACCCCAGGAAGUGCUGAAGGUACCUGCAGUUCAGGCCCCAUGGAAGCCCAGACCUCCUUCACCCUUCGGGGACACUGAAAUUGGCCAAAUGUUUAGGCCAUGAGGAUGGCUGCUGAGUAAGCCCAUAAUCCCUACAUCGGACACAACCUUGUGCAAAGGACCUUCUCACCACAGAUCAGCCAGACCAUCUUCCUCCUUCCAAGUCAUCAAAGAGUUCCAAGCUGGUCACCUGUCCCUUGAUGUUCCCAGGAAACCAGGAAAGAGGACCCCUGCAUUUUAUCUUCCCAUCCAGAGUGGCAGGAUCUCUGCCUGGGAAACAGGCUUCAUUCAGCACAGCUGUGGUAGCAUUAACAAAGCAAAGUGGGCACAUGUAGAAGUUGAAGCUAAAACAUUCAAGAACUCCAGUCUGUUUCUGUGGAUGUUAAGGGGGUGAAGAUAAAACAAUGGAGGUGAUGAGGAGGAAUAACUUGAAGACAGUUUAAAGCCACAGUGAUACAAAGAAUGAAGAGAAGGAAGGUGCUGGAUUUUACUAAGAAAACAGACUGAGUUCAGGAGUCUCACCAGUAGAACUUUAUAGUAUUGCGUUUCGAUUACAUGUGUGUGAAUUUUAAAAACUGAUUACCCUCCAGUAAAAAUGUGGAACCAAUUUGCAUUUGGAUUAAAACAUUAGGUUUGGGGACAAAAGUGGACCCCAUGCUGCCUGAGAUGAAGAGAGAGAGCAGGAUGGCAGAGGAAUCACCAGCUCAAGAAACCCCAAGACUUGGACAGUCUUCCAGCAGAAGAGGCCAGGGUCUCUCAGUGUACUACUCCAAACAGGCCUCUCCUAGAGAUGUAGUCUGGGAAGGUCCAAAACCCACCAGACAGGCACAUCCAGUGGGGAAAAGACUUCCCAUUCCAGUGUGGCCUGCAUCCCUCACCUCUGCUUCCCAGUCUUCUGCUGACCUCAGAGGAGCAGGGUGGCCAUUGCUGAUCUGGGUUAGGGAGAUGCCAGAAACACACCCAGGUUUGAACCACAGGUUAGUGGUACAAAGUCACAGUCCUUGUGCCUUCAGAAAACCCAGAGGCCCCAAAUACGAGUGGGAAGAGAGUUGGGAAAAACUGAACCAGACUCUUCCAAUGGCCAUUAAAGAGAAAAUUCAGCAACGCUUGCCUUUGUCUUUGACCCUGAGAAGUUAAGGGACACAGAUUGUGGCGCCGUGAUGGAACAUGGAGGGAAGGCAUGGUGUGCUUCCUGCAGAGAUGCCUCUGGAGUCCCUGUGGCCACGGGAUCUCACUGGCCCCCUCUUCAGGCACCUUGAUGGGGCUCAGUGGGGCCAGGCCGAAGGGUGGAAGUAGAAAAGCAUCAACAGGCUGUCCAGAUCAAUUGGCACCAUCCAAGGCCCUGCUGCACCCACACAUGGAGGUCACCAGCUCAGCCCCAGGGGUUCUUUCACACACAAGCUCCUUCCCUAAGGAGUCCUGUGGGGUUCCACACUCAGUGUGCUGCCCAAGUCAGAGAUUUACCACAGAUCUGUCUCCCCCUCAACCUGGACUCAAGUUACUGUGGUGAGAAACCUCACUGUCCAUGGUUAACUGAAGAAAUCCCUCCUUCAGAAAGAACUUGAGUAGUAGAUGAGGUGGUUAGACAGGAUCUUUUUCCCUCAAGCUGUUUGGACGCCACAGCCAGGACCAACUCUGACAGCUGCGAGAGAGAGAGCCCCUCCAAUGUGGAACCUCCUACACAGCCCCCCUUUUGGGUCCCUGGAUAUGAGCCCCCAGCAGGACCACCACUCUAGGGGGAAGUCUCCCUCCCAUCCCUCAGAUCCCCACAUUGUUCCUCCUGUAGGAGAAAAGUCAGCCCUGCCCCUGGAGCUUCUCCAAGAUGGCACUGGACUCGCCGUUAUCUUGAGGAGCCAGGAGCUGAAAUGGCUCCGGCUUAGCAACCCAGUAUGGCCAAAGUGGAAAGGUUCUCUGUCCUUUGCAGUCACCAAAAAAAAAAAAAAAAAAAAAAAAAAAAAAAAAAAAGUAUGGUCUCACAGGCACAGCAUCUUCUUUUAAAAAAUAAAUAUUUAUAAACUUAAGGAAGAUUCAAA